Molecule: unclassified non-coding RNA, 302 nt
Filed under: uncultured fungus
Lineage: Eukaryota; Fungi
Description: sequence contains ITS1
Source: RNAcentral
UUAUUAAAUUAACUUUAUACUCCGACGUAAGAAUGCAGUGUUUUGAUGACCCCUGGGACGAAUGCCGACCAGCGGUAGGGUCGCCCCAAAAGCAACAUCGAUGGGCCCCUGGGACGAGUGAGUGCCGGCCAGCGGCAGGGUCGUCCCAAAAGCAACAUUGAUGAUAGCCCCCCGGGACGAGUGAGUGCCGGCCAGCGGCAGGGUCGUCCCGGAAGCAACAGGAUGUGUUCACAAAGGGUUGGAGUUCAGGGCACGUAGCCCUCAGCUCAAUAAUGAUCCCUCCGCAGGUUCACCUACGGAGA